UGAAUACGAGACGCUAAGGCGUCGAAGUAGUGUAUGUCAUACUUCCAAGAAAAGCUUGCACUGUCAUAGAUAAAAAACGCCUGUACCAUAACCGACACAGGUGGGUAGGUAGAGUAUACUAAGGGGCGCGAGAUAACUCUCUCUAAGGAACUCGGCAAAAUAACUCCGUAACUUCGGGAGAAGGAGUGCCUUAUUCUUAAGGUUGCAAUAACAAGAUCCAAGCAACUGUUUAUCAAAAACACAGGUCUCCGCUAAGUCGUAAGACGAUGUAUGGGGGCUGACGCCUGCCCAGUGCCAGAAGGUUAAAGAAGCUGGUUAGCAUUUGCGAAGCUAGUAACUGAAGCCCUGGUGAACGGCGGCCGUAACUAUAACGGUCCUAAGGUAGCGAAAUUCCUUGUCGGGUAAGUUCCGACCCGCACGAAAGGCGUAAUGAUUUGGAUACUGUCUCGGAGAGGGGCUCGGUGAAAUAGACUUGUCUGUGAAGAUGCGGACUACCUGCACCAGGACAGAAAGACCCUAUGAAGCUUUACUGUAACUUGAAAUUGAAAUUGGACUUUAUUCGCGCAGUAUAGGUGGGAGGCGUUGAUUAUAAUCUUGCGGGAUUAUUGGAGCCAUUAGUGAGAUACCACUCUUGUAAUGUUAGAUUUCUAACUUUGAAUCAUUAUCUGGUCAAAGAACAGUUUCAGGCGGGCAGUUUGACUGGGGCGGUCGCCUCCUAAACGGUAACGGAGGCGUACAAAGGUUUCCUCUGAACGGUUAGAAAUCGUAUCUAGAGUGUAAAGGCAUAAGGAAGCUUGACUGUGAGACCUACAAGUCGAGCAGGGACGAAAGUCGGUCUUAGUGAUCUGACGGUACUGAGUGGAAAGGCCGUCACUCAACGGAUAAAAGUUACUCUAAGGAUAACAGGCUGAUCUCCCCCAAGAGUUCACAUCGACGGGGAGGUUUGGCACCUCGAUGUCGGCUCAUCGCAUCCUGGGGCGGUAGUACGUCCCAAGGGUUGGGCUGUUCGCCCAUGAAAGCGGUACGCGAGCUGGGUUCAGAACGUCGUGAGACAGUUCGGUCCAUAUCCGGUGUAGGCGUUAGAAUAUUGAGAGGAGCCUUCUUUAGUACGAGAGGACCGAGAAGGACAUACCUCUGGUGUACCAGUUAUCGUGCCAACGGUAAACGCUGGGUAGCUAUGUAUGGAGUGGAUAACCGCUGAAAGCAUCUAAGUGGGAAGCCCACCUCAAGAUAAGUAUUCUC
This 1242-nucleotide ribosomal RNA is filed under the name metagenome. RNAcentral describes it as "bacterial LSU rRNA". It matches the Rfam family "Bacterial large subunit ribosomal RNA", at positions 1564 to 2815 of the family's 2925-position model. The record is from RNAcentral.